CGCGCGCCGCCACGCAUUCCAUCACCGCCACAGGCCGACGCCACGCAUUCCAUCACCGCCACAGGCCGACGCCACGCAUUCCAUCAACGCAUAUCCAAGCAUCUUUUUUCUCGCGAAGUGCGCCUCCAUUUCGCCUCUCCCUCGCCACGGAGCGCCUCUCUUACCACCAUGGCGACGGAUCUGCCUCCCUGCGCCACGGGUCCACCAUGGAGACGGACCUGCCGUGAUGGCGCCACGGGGAUCCACCACGAUGGCAUGGCGACGGAUCCACGGAUCCCUGCGCCCGAUCCAACACCAACGGAGACCUAGGGACACACACGCGCCAGACCUCGGCCUACUCCAAGGUAGACCCAUCUUGGCCAGCACCAGAAGCGCCAUGGGCAGUGAAGAGCAGCAGCUGUACGACCACACCCAGCCAUCUCCGCCAUGGCUACAGACUGCAGCACAGGGUCCAGCAUCAAAGGCUUCUUCUCUUCUUCCUGCACUACCCAUGUCAAGCUCUGUGGCGUUGGAUAAAAGAAAUCCUGAAUCUAUUCUUGAUGUACUGAGAGAGCUUUCUCUUUAUUGUUUCUUGUGACUGAUUUGGCCUCCUCCUGCCUCCACACGUGCAGUGCAGGGUCUAUCUCCACAUCACAAGUCUGAUGGGUCCUUGGUGGUUUUCUCAGUUUGACCCUGCUGCUGAGGAUGCACAAGCUGCUCCUCGUUCAUUCGAGGGGUCAUGUGGGGCCCCUGGCAGUGUCACACGGGCCAGCGGGGCGGACUACUAGGCGCGGGCGCCUGCCCGAACACGCACGGGCGUGAGGGCGUGUCGUGGCCGGGCCAUGGCUGCACCGACGACAGGGUGGCAGGGACAUGCGUGGGCAGCCAGCGAAGGCGAAGCGGGUGGCGCAUGGACGUAGGCGGCCUUGGUCACGAAAGCAGCAGCAGCACGGGCAGCCGAAGCAAAACAGGGGCGCGGCAAAGAGCAGCAGCAUGCGGGCUUGGUCGUGGCCGGGGCAUGGGCAUGCAUCAACAGGGCAGGCCCGUCGCAAGGCAGUAGGUAGCGGUGGCGGGCGGUUGCAGUAGCUGAAGGAGUAGCAGGCGGGAGCAGUUAGCAGGGCAAGCAGCAUCGACAACAGCAGCUUAGAACAAGUCAAACGGAGCAACCUGCACCUACACUAGUAGAAAAUGGGUCCAAUGUGAAGCACAUUAGUGCCGGUUUUAUUUUGAGCCGGCCAGCUAGCCGUUGGAACCGGCACUAAAGUGAGUGGUGACAGGAUGUUGUUAGUCUGGGGCCCCUCCAGCAUCUUUAGUAUCGGUUUGUUGCACGAACCGGUGCUAAAGGUUCUCCUACAUAAACCCUUCGUCCACCAGCUCACUCUGUUCUUCCCCUUCCCCCUCUCCUCUCUGUUCUUCCCCUCUUCCUCUCAAC
Long non-coding RNA from Triticum urartu, 1411 nucleotides. RefSeq lists it as uncharacterized. The record is from RefSeq and is a predicted model, not a curated record. NCBI's taxonomy places the organism in Eukaryota, Viridiplantae, Streptophyta, Magnoliopsida, Poales, Poaceae.